This 44141-nucleotide long non-coding RNA is filed under the name Triticum aestivum (bread wheat). The record is from RNAcentral. Lineage: Eukaryota; Viridiplantae; Streptophyta; Magnoliopsida; Poales; Poaceae.
CCCUGUGUGAAGGAUGGCAGUGUCGUGGAGUACAACACGUCUGAGAACAAGCUAUCUGUGAUCAAGGCGCCAUUUGAGGUCCAGGACCAGAAGAUUGAGCUCAUGGGGGUGGAGGACGGAAUGCUGCUGUUUGCGUCUGUGGUGAAGCCUAGACUCUACCUAUGGUCAAUGGAGGCUGGUCCCAGGGGAGCUGCGGGACGGGCACGAAGCAGGUUCAUCGAGCUCGGGCCGUUGCUCCCUAGUACUGUCCUCGUGGACAACACCGAAGUGUCGGCGGUUGGUUUUGCGGAAGGUGUUGGUAUCAUCUUCAUCAAGACAAGGGUUGGGUUGUACACAAUUCAGCUCAAAUCAAAACAAAGCGACCAGGCAAUAAGGUUGGUGCACAGAGGGUACAUCAAUAAGGUCAUACCCUACAUGAGCUUCUACACUGGAGGUACAGAUAACUGUUUCCAAACAUGCACAUUAAGUCAUGAACUCUAAGCACACCAUCGACUACUAUUAUUGCUUGUAGCUUAGAUAGUUGAAUAAUUUAAAGGCUGAGUUCCUAGUGUGGUAUGUGAUUCCUAAACAUCGGCGAGUAUGUAGAGUUUUUCUUCUAUUUUUCUGCAUAACUAAAUAGAUAUCUGUAUGUGGGUCUGCUCGCAUUUUUCUGGCCUUUGGGUGAUUUGUAGAGAUGUUAGGAAGCAGGAGCCCAUUCUUUGUGCUGUUAUACUAUUCAUUCAGGUGUUGAGUCGUGCUGCAGACCUGGGUGAUUAUAGGCAACCAUGAGUAACCCGUGAUUUUUCAUGCCAUGUUGUCUUUGCGUCUAUAGAAGCCAGAGAAAAAGAUACAGUAGUCGCGUGGAAUUGGCGUCCGGCAGAUUAACUAGGCAUCUGACUAAAGAAUUCCAUGGUGGAUGUAUAAUUUCAUUGGCUGCGCUAUUAUAUGUUGUGCUGAUUGGCUUUACUGCCGGUAAGCCUUAGUUAAAACUUUGCUGAUCAUGUCCUAAGAUUGGCAAGAGCAGUUUGCAAAUCAGUCAAGUGAUCAGAGCUUUGCUGUGAGCCAAGAGGUCUCUGGCACCCAAACAUCUGUGUAGUGUUUUGGAUAGGAUAACCUAGUCCCAGGCAUGCACUAGGCACUUGUCCAUGAGCCUGCCCGAAUGAAAGAGAUGAUUUCAUUGUUGCGUACUUAGAGCAUUGUAGGUCCAGAUUGAACCGUGUUGUGAUGUGGAUGCUUCCUGCUAUCGCUUUGUUGAUUUGGUCAGUUAGAAAUGAAAUGAUUUUGAGAGCAGUGUGCUCCUCUCUACUCAUCAUGUCAUCUUAUGAAGCCUUGUCUCUACAUGAGCUUCUACACUGGAGGUACAGACACGCACAUUAAGUCAUGAAUGCUAAGCAUACCAUCGACUACUAUUAUUGCUUAUAGCUUAGAUUGUUGAAUAAUUUAAGUCUGAGAGUUCCUAGUGUGGUAUGCGAUUCCUAAAUGUCAAAGAGUAUGUAGAGUUUUUUCUUCUAUUUUUCUGCAUAAGUAGAUACAUAUCUGUAUGCGGUCUAGUUUGUGGGUGAUUUGUAGAGAUGUACUCCCUCCGUCCCAUAAUAUAAGAGUGUUUUUGACAUUAGUGUAGUGUAAAAAACGCUCUUAUAUUAUGGGACUGAGGGAGUAGGAAGUAGGAGCCCAUUCUUUGUGCUGUUAUACCAUUCAGAUGUUGAGUCGUGCUGCAUACCUUGGUGAUUGUAGGCAACCAUGAGUGGCCUGUGAUUUUUCCUGCCAUCUUUGUCUUUGUGUUGAUAGAAGCCAGAGACAAGGAUACAAUAGUUGUGUGGAAUUGGGUUAGCCAGACUAACUAGGCGGCUGACCAAAGAAUUUGAUGGUGGAUGUAUAGAUUUAUGUUUCAUUGGCUGCUCUAUUAUAUGUUUCGCUGAUUGGUGUUACGAGUUGGUAAGCCUUAGUCAAAGCUUUGCUGAUCAGGCCCUAAGAUUGCCAAGAGCAGUUUGUAAAGCAACUAAGUGAUGAGAGCUUUGCUGUGAGCCAAGAGGUCUCUGGAAGCCAAACAUCCCUGUGGUGUUUUGGGUAGGAUAACCUAGUCCCAUGUAUGCAUUUGGCAUUUGCCCACGAGCCUGCCCGAAUGAAAGAUAUGAUUUCAUUGUAGCAUUGUAGGUCCAGAUUGAAUCGUGUUGUGAUGUGGAUGCUUCCUGCUAUCACUUUUGUUCAUUUGAACAGCUAGAAAUGAAAUGAUUUUGAGGGCACUCUCUAGUCAUCAUGUCAUCUUAUGAAGCCUUGUCUCUUAUGGUGCAGCAUGGGGGCCUUUGCCAGCAUCUGAUGAAGCUUAACGCGCAGUUGUUGAUGCUACAAUGAUAUAACCAAAUGGCGCCAGGACUUGGGUUUACUUUCUCUACCCAGGAAGAAUUUGAAGUGAACUUGAGCCUCAUUCACUGCCGGUUGUGUUGAACAGUUUGGUUAGUGUGGAUGCGCUUUUGUCCUAUUUGUGCUUGUGCCAUAAACUUCGAGUUUGUUUGUUCGUCCGAGUUGGGUGCAGCUCAAACUGUCCAUCAGGAGAAGUUUUAGCGAUCGGUUGGCGGUUUUGUGGCAUGAUGAAUUGGUGCAGAUUUCUCCUUCUCUAUCUUUGGCUGUUAGAGAUGAUGUUGUUGUCUCGAAAAUGCACUCUACUGAGAUUUUUGAUGUGGAAUCUCUCUAUGCUAUGCAGUAAGAAAUUUCAGGGGAAGUAAAUCCCCACCCGGGUUCACUGUUUCUGUCUGGCUUUAAACUAUGGACAAUGUGGCCAAGAGACAGAUUAUUAGUGAUAAAACACGUCUUUUUGGUGCAAUUUGUCACUUAUUUGUUGGAUGGCCUGUGGCCAAGCUGUGGUGGUCUUAAUUUGUUGAGCUCUCAGCAAUCACGUAUUACUUGAAACCACAGGAAGUUGCCACGAAUCCGCUAGAUAAAUCACGCAAGAUAUAGCCACAAGCGCAUCUUCUUCGUCCUAUGUCUUAUGUCUUAUGUGUCGACGAUGAUCUUUGCAUCUCGGGAAGUGCGGAUUGUCACAGAGCACAAAUAAAAAUUCUUCACUUGUAGAGUGAGGACCCCCUGAACCCAUGUGCAUAUGAACCCGCUUUAAAAGAAUGCAUUUUAAACGUGUUUUAAAAUGUCAAAUAUUAAAAACAAAAUUUCAUGCAUACAUCUUCACAUAAUGUGUGCGCGGCACAAAAUAUUGUGGGAAAACCUCUUUUUAUUUGAAUCCUCGAAAAAGACAAUUUUCAGUGCUUCUAAAUAGUGUUCCACGACACCUUUUUGUAUCUUUUUUGCAUAGGUCAAAGAAAAAGUUGUUUUUCCGCGAAACUUUCUGCACAUGCAUAGAAUGUGAAGCUGUCGGUGUGAAAUUGUUUUUAGAAUUUUUUGGCAUUGCGAAAUGAGUUAUUGUUUUGCCAUGGGUUCAGAAUGUACUUUCUAAACCAGGUUUUUUCUUCUUCUUCUAAACUAGGUGAUGGCUCGGCCGCGCGUAAGGGUCCUCUUCCCCUCGUCCCUCUCCAGCCCAGCCCAGCCCAGCUCAGCCCAGAUCGUGCUUUCGAUGCAUACUUAAAAAAACCGCAGUGUUCUUUCCAACGGGCUUCUCUCCUGGGGGGUCGCGCCUAGCGCAAUGAAUAUCAUAUGUUGGAACUGUCGUGGGGCUGGCAAACCCGCGACAGUUCGCGAGCUUCGUGAUAUGACGAGGCAAUUUGCCCCUCUAUAGCUUGUAUCCUUGAAACCCAAAUAGAGGGCUCUAGAGUAGACAAUCUUGCUGGUACACUUGGUUUUGAUAGUAGCUCUGCUGUAAGUAGCUCUGGUAGGAGCGGAGGACUCGGAAUAUUUUCGAAUGAAUCAAUAAAGUUAGAAGUAAUUGGCUAUUCGGAAUAUCACAUAGAUGUUACUGUCGAGGACGGAGGAUCAGCUUGUAGAUUAACUUUUGUGUAUGGAGAGGCUCAAGUCCCGGAAAGAUACAAGACAUGGAACAUGUUGACGGGCAUUGUCAGUGUGUCUAACUUACCUUGGGCAGUUAUAGGGGACUUUAAUGAGGUACUUACACCCCAAGAACAUGAUGGCGUCGGGCAACGCAGUUAGGCGCAAAUGGAUGCAUUCAGAGAUGCACUCGAUACUUGCGGACUGGUGGACAUAGGAUAUCACGGGAACAACUGGACGUUUGAGAAGAAAGUUACGGGCGGGACGUUUACGCGUGUGCGCCUGGACAGAUGCGUAGCAACGCCCAGCUGGAUCGCCCAAUAUCCACAUGCAAUAUUGGAACAUAAAACGGCUGCGUCGUCCGACCACUCACCACUGUUACUACGACGAGACUGCGUGCAUGCAUGCAGAUCGGGUCCGCGGUCAUUUAAAUAUGAGCUAGCCUGGGAGAGACAUCCGGAGCUGCAGCAGGUGGUCGCUGCUGGAUGGACUUCAAACCCGGCGGACAGCGUUGCGGCCAUGCAUGAAAAGCUCAACGCACUUUCAACUGAUUUGUCAAACUGGGAGCGGACAAACUUUGGGAAUGUUAGGUAGGAAAUUGCAAAUCUAAAAAAGGAACUGGACACUUUGCGAUCGGCUCCAGGACGUUUUGCUCCAUCUCACGUGGAAACUAAAAUCACUGAUAGACUAGUCGAGCUCUAUCAUCGGGAAGAGAUUCUUUGGAGGCAACGAGCUCGCCUAGAGUGGUUAGCUCACGGGGACAAAAAUACGUACUUUUUUCACCUAAGAGCAAGCAGGAGACGAAGGAAGAAUCAAAUUAAAUCCCUUCAGCUACCUGAUGGCCGAGUCACGGAGGACAAAAUGAGUUGGAGGAAGCUGCAUCAGCAUUUUAUUCUGACUUAUAUAGCUCGGAGGGUGUACAAAACAUGGAGCAGGUUAUUGAUACAGUACCUCGUAGAGUCACUGAUGAUAUGAACGUCAUCUUGAAUGCCCCAUACACACAGGACGAGGUCAAAACAGCGUUGUUCCAAAUGUUUCCUCUGAAGGCACCGGGCCCUGACAGCUUUCCAGCACACUUUUCCAGCGACACUGGGAGGUAUGUGGUGAUGAGGUAACAAAAGCAGUACUCAGAAUUGUGUCUGGAACAGAGUCUGCAGAAAGUAUCAAUGAUACUAUGUUGGUCCUUAUUCCAAAGGUAAAAAAACCAACGUUAUUAACUCGGUUUUGCCUGAUCAGCUUAUGCAACGUUUUGUACAAGAUUGCUUCCAAGGUUAUUUCUAAUCGUUUGAAGAUAGUUCUGCCGGAUAUAAUCUCAGAGGAGCAGUCAGCCUUUGUGCCUGGGAGAUUAAUCACAGACAACAUUAUCACGGCAUAUGAGUGCCUUCACUUCAUGAAACGGAACAAAGCUAAGAAGAACCAACACUGCGCUUUGAAGCUAGAUAUGACGAAGGCCUAUGAUAGGGUGGUGUGGUCUUAUCUUCAGGCUAUUAUGAUAAAACUUGGCUUCACAGAAGGCCGGGUGAACAUUGUGAUGAACAUGGUCAUGUCGGUAAAAUUUUCCGUUUUGUUCAAUGGUAAGAAACUUCACCAGUUUACACCUACACGUGGAAUCCGACAGGGGGACCCGAUCUCCCCUUAUUUGUUUUUGAUAGCAGCAGAGGGCCUUUCGUGCCUUAUAAAAUCCAGAGAAGAGUCAUCUAACCACAGUGGUAUACAAGUGGCUCUAAUGGCGCCACCAGUUAGCCACCUGUUAUUUGCAGAUGACAGCCUGCUAUUUUUCAAUGCAAAUGGAGAGGGAGCAUUGGGUGUGCUUCAGAUGUUGGAUAGUUAUUGCCAGGCCAUAGGUUAGAGGAUCAACUAUGACAAGUCAUCGAUUUUCUUCAGUGUGGGAGUUCCAGAUAGUGUGAGGGCAGAAGUUAAGGGAUUGCUCAAUGUCCCUAAUGAAACCCUCAGUGAGAAAUACUUGGGUAUGCCAUCGGAUGUAGGUUCUUCAAAAAAUGGUGCUUUCAAAUAUCUCAAAGACCGAUUAUGGAGUAAGGUACAGGGAUGGAUAGGAAAGACUAUGGCAAUGACGGGGAAGGAGGUUCUUGUCAAGGUGGUGGCUCAGGCAGUUCCGGUAUUUUCUAUGUCAUGUUUUAAGCUCCCUAGAGGCUUGUGUGAACAUCUCAACAUGCUGAUUCGCAAAUUCUGGUGGGGAAGCCGGGAUGGUAAGAGAAAACCUGCAUGGGUGGCCUGGGAGGACAUGACCAAACCGAAGGACAUGGGAGGUCUUGGGUUUAAGGAUUUUGAGCUAUUUAACCUUUCAUUACUUGUUAGGCUGGCGUGGAGGAUACUACAGUCGCCAGACUCAUUGAGUGCACGUGUUCUCAGGGCCGUCUAUUUUCCAAAUACAUCUAUUCUUGAGGCAGCACUCAGAAACCACCCAAGCCAAAUUUGGAGAGCCAUAGUAGAAGGGAGAGACAUACUCAAAAUUGGCCUGAUUCGUAGAAUUGGGGACGGCGCCACCACAAGCAUCUGGGCUGACAAUUGGCUGCCUAGGGAGGAGAUGAUGAGACCAUAUGGUUGCAAGGUAUCAAACCCUCCCCAAUAUGUGUCCGAGCUCAUCGACCCAACUACAGCCAGCUGGAACAUGGACCGCCUGCAGCAAGUUAUGCUCCCUAUCGACAUACCAAUCAUAACUAGCAUCCCGCUUUGCACCAGAACAACUGCAGAUUUUUGGGCUUGGAAUCAUGAAAGAUAUGGCCUGUUCUCGGUUAGAUCUGCAUACAAAAUGCUUGUCCACACAAAAGAGCGCCGGGAAGCGUGGCUAGAGGGAGUUGCAGGACCGUCCAACACAGCGCGUGAGCGCAGUUCUUGGAGGUCAUUGUGGAUCACUAAGGUACCGGGGAAGAUAAGGAUGUUUCUCUGGAGGCUUGCUAGGCAUUCGCUGCCAACGGAAGAUGUCAGAGAACAUCGACACAUGUCUUCGACAAGCUCAUGCGCACUAUGUGGCGCUCCAGACUUGUGGCGGCAUUCUUUGCUAGAGUGCACAAUGUCACGAUGCAUUUGGGCGUUAGUUCAUGGAGAGCUGGCAGAGCAACUGAGGUUAACAUCGGAACCAGCCGCAAAAUCUUGGUUGUUCUUUAUGAUUCAAGCACUAUUGCAUGAAGCUUUUCUCAGGCUUGCAGUAACACUUUGGGCGAUCUGGUCUGCAAGAAGGAAGGCCAUCCAUGAAGGAGAUUUCCAGAGUCCAGGAGCCACACAUGCAUUCAUCAACAUGUACCUGAUGGACUUGGAGAUCAUCAAGGAGAAGCCGCAAACGACGCACAAUGCAACCAGGAACCAGGGGCGAGCUGCUGGAAGAACUCGCCCUAGGGCACCGCCACUGGGACAUGCCAAAAUACACGUUGAUGCCGGUGUAUCUAUCCAUCAUAGGAGAGGUGCAACAGCGGCAGUUUGUCGAGACGAGCAUGGCAACUAUCUGGGGAGCUCCUCCCUAGUGGUCACGGGAGUUCAUGAUGCGGCUACACUUGAAGCAAUUGCCUGUCGUGAAGCGUAUGCUUUGGCUGAGGAUCUAGUGCUUCACAACUUUAUUGUGGCAUCGGAUGCAAAGCAAUUGGUUGUUGACAUUCACAGCAAUGCUAGAGGACCAUAUGGCUCUAUCAUCAAUGAGAUUAGAGCAAGGGCGGUGAAUUUCACUAGCAAGAUUGUAUAUGAAGGUCGUAGAUCAAAUACAGAUGCUCAUAGGUUAGCUAAAUUUUCGUUAACUCUUGUACAUGGGCGCCAUGUGUGGCUUCUAAACCAACAUGAUCCAAACUGUAUCCCACAAACUGUGGUUUUCGAUGAAUAAAGUUAUGUUCAUCCCUCAAAAAAAACUUAAAAAAACUUCAAUUAAAUUUAAAAAAUAAAUAAAAGACUGGUCUCGAUGGGGGAUUGAACCCAUGACCUUCCUCAUAUCGGACAGCUACGGGACCACAACAAGUAAUCAUGUUAUUAAAUUAUAUUAAUAGAAAAAUUAAAAUAAAAGGGUUAGAUAAAAUAACCGUGAAACUUUCAUUAACACAGUUCUGUCGCUAACCAUCUGAUGGUCUGACCUCAACCCAUAAUUCUAUUAUUACAAUAUAAAAUUUAAUUAAUAAAAAUAAAAAGGUUAGAGAAAAUGUGGCAACACUUCUUUUUUGAGAAACAUGAUGGCAACCUUCUGAACUGUGCGGCACGCAAACCAAUUUAUGGUUGGAUGGUUAGAUGGACUGUGGUAUCCCUAGCCCACCAAGGUUCAAAUCCUGGUGCUCGCAUAUGUUCCUGGAUUUAUUUCAGGAUUUUUGGCGAUGCGCAUUAAGUGGGAGGAGACGUUCCCGAGGUGCCUACGGUGACUUUGUAAAUUUCAAGAUGAUAUGCCGGCUCAGUCUUUCAGAGGUGCUUGAUACGUCUUCAACGUAUCUAUAAUUUUGAUUGCUCCAUGCUACUUUAUCUAUUGUUUUAGGCAAUAUUGGGCUUUAUUAUCCACUUUUAUAUUAUUUUUGGGACUAACCUAUUAACUGGAGGCCCAGCCCAGAUUUGCUAUUUUAUUCCUAUUUCAGUGUUUCGUGGAAAAGGAAUAUCAGACGGAGUCAAAACGGAACGAAAUCAACUGGAGAAGUUAUUUUUGGAAGGAAAGCCACCCGAUGGACUUGGAGUGCAUGUCAGGAGAUACGGGAGGUACUCACGAGGGUGGGGGGCGCGCCCACCCCCUAGGGCGUGCACCCCUGCCUCGUGGGGCCCUCGUAGCUCCAUCGAUGUACCCCCUGCACCCAUAUAUACCUACGUAUCAUAAAACUUCUAGAACAGAAGAUAGAUCGGGAGUUCCGCCACCGAAAUCCUCCAGAGCCACGAAAAACCAAUCGGGACCCUGUUCCGGCACUCUACCGGAGGGGGAACCCAUCACCGGUGGCCAUCUUCAUCAUCCCGGGGAUAUCCAUGACGAGGAGGGAGUAGUUCACCCUCGGGGCUGAGGGUAUGUACCAGUAGCUAUGUGUUUGAUCUCUCUCUCUCGUGUUCUCUCUCGUGUUCCCUCUAUGACACGAUCUUGAUGUAUCUCGAGCUUUGCUAUUGUAGUUGGAUCUUAUGAUGUUUCUCCCCCUCUACUCUCUUGUGAUGAAUUGAGUUUCCCCUUUGAAGUUAUCUUAUCGGAUUGAGUCUUUUAUGAGAACACUUGAUAUAUGUCUUGCGAUCCACUUGAUGUAUGUUUUGGUGAUCAACUUGCGGGUUUCGUGACAUUGGGAACCUAUGCAUAGGGGUUGGCACACGUUCUUGACUCUCCGGUAGUAGCUUUGGGUCACUCUUUGAAGUACUUUUAUGUUGGUUGGAUGAAUCUGAGAUUGUGUGACGCAUAUCGUAUAAUCAUGCCCACGGAUACUUGAGGUGACAAUGGAGUAUCUAGGUGACAUUAGGGUUUUGGUUGAUUUGUGUCUUAAGGUGUUAUUCUAGUACGAACACUUUUAUAGAUCGAUCCGAAAUAAUAACUUUGAGGUAGUUUCGUACCCUACCAUAAUCUCUACGUUUGUUCUCCGCUAUUAGUGGCUUUGGAGUGACUCUUUGUUGCAUGUUGAGGGCUUGUUAUAUGAUCUAUCUAUGUUAUUAUUGUUGAGAGAACUUGCACUAGUGAAAGUAUGAACCCUAGGCCUUGUUUCCUAUCAUUGCAAUACCGUUUACGCUCACUUUCACUACAAGAAAUAUGUCAACUAGUGACCUUCUGUCAAUGACCCUGGAAGAAUUGGUCAUAGAUCUAUGACCAUUUCAGACCAAUUGGUCAAAAGCUGUUCGGAGGGCUCCAAACCCUAAACCAUUGCGACCAUUUUGGUCAGAAAGGUCGUAAUUUCCUUACAUGAAAUGGUCACAAAGCAAACAGUGCUAGUCCGCUGCCUUAUUUCUAGUUGUUAAUGACCAAUAUAGAUGGUCAUAGCCUUGUAGAUUGUGGUGGGUUGUGAUGACUAGGCGUCAUCUCAUCAGUUUUGCCUAUGUGUCAUGUCCAUGUGGCAGUUUUUGCCCUAGGUUGUGAAGCAACCUAUAUUUCUGUUAUUCCAAAAAUUCCCAAAAAAAUCUCAUAAGUUUUUUGGAUCAUAUCUUCAUAAAAAAUGUCAAAAACAUUCCUUGCCUAGUUCAAAAAUAAUUCGAAAAUAUUCAUUUUCCUAUUUUGUUCAGAGCAGCACUUUGUGAAGGAAGUACCACUUUGGCAUGUCAAAAUAGUAUCCAUUUUCUACAGUGCUUUCCUAUGCCCAAAUAACCAUCCUCCACCAAAUGCCAGCUCAAUCCAUUCAUUAUUUUGAGCCGAGCUUCAAAAUUCGUAUUUAUGUCCAGUGUGGUACUUUGUAAAGCAAGUACCACCUAGGCUCCUCCUUUUGAGGUGAAAAUUUGUAAAGACGGUCUUCUUAGUAACUGAUCAUCCUCAGCCAAAACUCACGCCCAUUAGCCAUGUGCAUUUCACGUACCGCAAAUCAAACACUUGGCUGCUUAUUCAUGUUUGAGCAUCGAUCGGUCUCCUCGUGAGAAUCUUAUGUUGUGAUUUUCUUCCUAGCACCUACCUGGGGAGUGCCCAACCCACUAGACAUACCUAGGCCGCCCAGAACACAUGGCAACACCAUGGUCACGCGGUGACCACACGGCAGGCAUGCGAGUUUACGCGCUCUAGAGUUGGGGCCCUCGGCCACCGCCCAAACCUCGACGUAUCGCCACCAAACCAUGUAUAUAUGAUUAAAUAGGUACUUAUGUAACUAUAAAUGAUUUUUGGAAAAAAUAAAUAGAAAACUAUGAGGCAGCUGCAGUUCAAAUUUGACCCGCUUCCACCUGAAUCGGCGGAAAUUUGUCUUUUUCACGAGAGGUGGAUCAAAACUUUUUGCACCCAACCAUUUUGUCAAUUGUGCAUUAAAUAUGUCCUAGUAUUUUAGAAAAUUGAUUUGGUCCAAUUUUGCAACAAUUAUUUGGGAGGUCCUUCACAAAAAAACCUCCUUUUGGGCACUCGUAAAAUGAAAAAUGGUUUUUUCGUCCAAAGAAAAUGAAAACUUCCUUAGGCAACAUUGUUUGCCAUUCCAAUAUGCACCCUUGUGCACAAUAUGAGAUCAUUUGAACAAACUAUGCCACGAAUGUGGCCAUAAGAUUGAUCAUUUGGCUUGAAAGCCAUGAAUCUUUAGAGAUGAUAGCUCAUUCUGAGAACACUUUUUUAAAAUAGUUGCCAUAUUACAAGUUUGUUAUUUUUCCUGGGAACUUGGACACAUAUAAUGACACAAUGAGAAGGUUUCCCAAUUUUUUGUUUUUUUUGAAUUUUUUAUGCCUGUUUCAAAAUGCGGUCAAAACGGCAGGAAUGACCGUUCCUAGCUAGUGGUUGAAUCUUGGAACUUUUUGGUGUUUCUCUGAUUAAAUAGGUACUUAUGUAACUAGAAAUGAUUUUUGGAAAAAAUAAAUAGCAAACUAUGAGGCAGCUGCAGUUCAAAUUUGACCCGCUUCCACCUGAAUCGGCGGAAAUUUGUCUUUUUCAUGAGAGGUGGAUCAAAACUUUUUGCACCCAACCAUUUUGUCAAUUGUGCAUUAAAUAUGGCCUAAUAUUUUAUAAAAAUGAUUUGGUCCAAUUUUGCAACAAUUAUUUGGCAGGUCCUUCACAAAAAACCUCCUUUUGGGCACUCGGAAAAUGAAAAAUGGUUUUUUCGUCCAAAGAAAAUGAAAACUUCCUUAGGAAACAUUGUUUGCCAUUACAAUAUGCACCCUUGUGCACAAUAUGAGAUCAUUUGAACAAACUAUGCCAUGAAUUUGACCAUAGGAUUGAUCAUUUGGCUUGAAAGCCAUGAAUCUUCACGCAUGAUAGCUCAUUUCUGAGAACACUUUUUUAAAAGAAUUACCGUAUUGCAAGUUUAUUAUUUUUCCUGGAAACUUGGUCAUAUAUAAUGACACAAUGCGAAUGUUUUCCAAUUUUUUUGUUUUUUUUUUGAAUUUUUUAUGCCCGUUUCAAAAUGCGGUCAAAACGGCGGGAAUGGCCGUUCCUAGCUACUGGUCGAAUCUUGGAAAACUUUUGGUGUUUCUUUGAUUAAAUAUAUACUUAGGUACCUAGAAAUAAUUUUUAGAAAAAAUAUAGAGCAAACUAUGAGGCAGCUGCAGUUCAAAUUUUACCCGCUUCCUACUGAAUCGACGAAUGUUUGUCUUUUUCACCAGAGGUGGAUCAAAACUUUUGACAACCAACCAUUUGGUCAAUUGUGCAUUAAACAUGGCCUAGUAUUUUAUAAAAUUGAUUUGGUCCAAUUUUGCAACAAUUAUUUGGUAGGUUCUUCACAAAAAUACCUCAUUUUGGACACUUGAAAAAUGGAAAAUGGUUUCUUCGUCCAAACAAAAUGAAAACUUCCUUAGGCAACAUUGUUUGCCAUUCCAAUAUGCACCCUUGUGCACAAUAUGAGAUCAUUUGAACAAACUAUGCCAUGAAUGUGGACAUAAGAUUGAUCAUUUGGCUUGAAAGCCCUCAAUCUUCACGCGUGAUAGCUCAUUUAUGAGAACACUUUUUUAAACUAAUUGCCGUAUUACAAGUUUAUUAUUUUUCCUGGAAACUUGGUCAUAUAUAGUGACACAAUGCGAAGGUUUCCCAAUUUUUUGAUUUGUUUUUGAAUUUUUUAUGCCCAUUUCAAAAUGCGGUCAAAACGGCGGGCAUGACUGUUCCUAGCUAGUGGUUAAAUAUUGGAGUUUUUUUUGGUGUUUCUCUGAUUAAAUAGAUACUUUUUUACCUAUAAAUUAUUUUUGGAAAAAAUAAAGAGCAAACUAUGAGGUAGCUGCAGUUCAAAUUUAACCCGCUUCCAACUGAAUCGGUGGAAAUUUGUCUUUUUCAUGAGAGGUGGGUCAAAAAAUUUCACACUCAACCAUUUGGUCAAUUGUGCAUUAAAUAUGGCCUAGUAUCUUAGAAAAAUGAUUUUGUCCAAUUUUGCAACAAUUAUUUCGUAGGUUCUUCACAAAAAACCUCAUUUCGGGCACUCGAAAAAUGAUUAAAAAUAGCUAGAAAGAUCUGAAAUGCAUACAAAUUGGUGAUCACCCAUAAAAUCUGGUCAAACUUGAGUGAAAAAUUUAGUUGUGCCAUUUUGCAAAAUACUUUGGAAGUUGCUUCACAAAAUUCCCCUAGUUUUAGUACUUAGAAACUAUUUUAAAUCACGAAAUUUCUGAACCAAUCAUGGCUCUUCUCACGGAUCACUCCACUAUAGCCGAUCUGAACCGUCCGCAUCCGAAGGAUCCAACCGUCCGCAUCACAGAUCACCUCUCCCAACCCAACCCAAACCCUAGCAGCAACCCAAUCCCCCUCUUCCCCUGCCGCCACCUGUCUCUCCCCCUCUCCCCGAUCCAGAUCGACUCCCUCCGUCGCCUCCCCGAGUGCGUCGAGCCGCUGCUAUCGCUGCUACUUUGUCCCUCUGCAUCGCCCGCAUCCAGCCGCGCCAUGGAUCCCUGCGUCGCCGGAUCCAACCUCCACCAGUCUGCCGUCGUGCCAAUCAGGAUACCACCACCGUGCGGGCCCUGACCCCGCACCCCACGGCGGCCGGAGACGAUGGCGAGGAAGGGCCCGGUCCCCUAACGAAUCCUCCUCCCUCCAUCACCUGGGCUCGACGCCCAGGCCCAGCAUGCGCCACCGCCAUGGACUCCGCCGCGGGGACGGAUCUGGGGAAGAUCGUGGGCGUGUUCUACCAGGCCGAGGACGCGGAGCAAAGCGACACCUCCUCGCUCUGCUCGCCACCUCCCUCGCCGUGCUCGACGCCAUGCAAGGUCCGCCUCUCUCUCCUCUUCCUGGUCUCUCUCUGUUGCUUGGUUUGAUUUUGCUGAUGCGAUUUACUUCCUCCCCUCCCUAAUGCAUGCGCGCAGGUGCACCGCCUAGUAGGAGACCACGGCUCCGUCUGCUUCUUCUGUUGCUGUGUGGUCGACGACGACGACGCGGUCGUGCGGUCGGUGCCCUUUGAUGCCGCCCGACGCAAUGGCCCCCACCAAGAAGGCGGUAUGAACCCUAAUCGAUCCCCACCCGCCGCCCUCCCAUUUCGGCCUGAUUCGUUCUCUGGUGGUUAUCUCAUCGUGUCUUUCUUUCCGAGAAAUCUUCUCAUUGUUUUUCGAUUGAUGGAUGCGCUCUGCAGAAGAAGAGCGGGGAGAACAUCAACAACAAGAUGCAACUGGUGAUGAAGAGCGGCAAGUACACGCUCGGAUACAAGACCGUCCUCAAGACGCUGCACAACUCCAAGGGUAUGGAUCUUUUUGUCACUGUUGAUUGAUUUAUUGUUGUGGUUCAUCUGCUAGUUCCUUUGUCUGCUGGAUCCGAAGGGUAGUACUAUAACAUACGCUCGGGACCGUGUUAAUUCCUGAGAUUCGUGAUUAGCUUUUGUAGAAUGAGGUGGUUAAUAUCUGUUUUGUGGCUAUUAAUUGCUUGAUGUACUUAUUUGUGAGAUAAGCUGAACUGUGUACAUAUUUGCUUCACGUGUGUAGUGAUACCCGCUGAAGUUUGUGGCACUGAAACUUUUAGUUCGUAGAAUUGGGACUGAAGUUUACCUCAUUGACUUGCUUUUGCCGUGCCUUAGAGGCGAAUGCAUUGUCUGAGGCAAUUACAUCUUUGUUGGUAGUCUGGAGUUUAAAACUGGUAUAGCAAGAUGGAUUUUGCUUGCCAUUUAGGGCAUUUAUAGAUAGUUUGUCUCUAAUUUUGCUAUAUUCGCUGCAUUCAUAAGAUUAUUGUAGUGUUCACGUGUUUACAUGAACACUUUUUUAAAAUAAUUGCUAUAUUCGUUACAUGAAUGCAUUUGUUCGUGGUCGCGCUUGCCACUGCCCUCUCCUCAAGGGCAUGUAUCAUUUUUUAAACUCUGCUAUCUUUUCCCAAGUCUUUAUUAUCUUGCCUAGCCUUGUACUGAUAUGUAUUGUUUGCUGCUAAUUACCCAAGAGCCAUGGGUUUUGCUUCAGCAAUGGCAGACCAAAGUUAUUCCUUGUGGACAGCACAAAUUCUACAGAGCUUAGUAACCAUUUCACGAUGAUGCUCUGGUUUAUGGCACUUGCAGGGACAACACAAAUUCCAUUUGUUUUUUUGUUCUUUGUUUUGAUUGAUGUGCGUUCAUUACCAAUUCCUGAGGAUGAUUUGCGUUCCUCAUGGCAAUUAGUCUCGGACGCUACAAGCUAUUCUCUGUUGUGUGGUAUAUCCUGAUUGGUGGCAUUCUUAGUGCCAACAUAUCCUGGAAACGACACAUACAUUCAUAUGAAGUUCUCUGUUAUUUUUCUUUUCUGUGUGUUAAAUGAUCUAAAUGUGCGGACCAAAUGAUCUCAUAGUUUAAAUGCACCAUAGUUUUGCAGAACCUCGGUACAUUUACAUGCACACGCACACACAUUUGACUGCUGAGUGUUUGAAUUAUUGGAAUGUGGGGGCUGGUUUGUUUAUUCCCAUGCUCUUUGCUGGUUUUAUUUGUUCUUAAUUUUUAGCCCACCACAGCUUGUAAUUUUCUCAAACAAAGUGAUGACAAAAUUUACUGUGUAUAUCUUUUUAGGGAGUCCCUAUACAGGUUAUUAUUCAUGUCAAUUUUAUGAUAAAAUUUGAGAUAUACUUACAAUGAGUAUUUGUGUUUGGCAUCUGCCAUUCGCUGGCUCAGUGGUGCAAGAUGGCUUGAUGCUAAUAUCUUUGUGAUUAGUUAGUAGUUAAUGUACUUAUCUUCAUGUGUUAUCCUUAGUAUUGAGACAUGUGAACACACACACUGUCUCUGAACCACUUCUUCUCUGUUUACCAAAUUGCAAUAUGCAGGGCUUCCUAGUCUGAAUUUCUAGCGAUGACUAAUUCAUAGUUUCAGACUGAAUCUCCAUUUGCCUCUGAUGUGAGCAUGUGAUUGACAAAAAGUGUCUUUUCCUAAUUUUAGCAUUACUCUAAAAGUCUGAACCUGUUUGAAUCACAACUUUCCUUUGUCUUCAUUACUCAGGGACUUUGAAACUUCCCUUGUUAUUUAGCCCCAUAUACUGGAUGCUACUCGUUUAUUGUUCAAGCCCAAUUACCCAACCGAUGCUAUAGUAUAGGGCUCAUGUUGAUGCUAUAGUAUAGGCAUGUUAGCUGUCUGUAUGUAAUCUAACUUGCAUAGUGUGUGUGUGUGUGUGUGUGGCAUGCAGGGAGGUGGUGAUCAGGUGAACAACAUAUCCCUGGAAGACCUCAUGUGUGUAGUGGGAGCCGGAGAAGGAGGGCUGCUUGCAAACCGCGACAUCUUCAUGUACAGGUUAGGUCCCGGUGUCCUCCUUCUUCCUCCGUUGAUUAGCUUAUGUCCGUGAUAUUGUUUGGGUCUAUGGCACACUUCCUGCAUUUAGGUCUCCCUGGCAAAGGCAAUCUGUAGCACACUUCUGGCUCACGUAGUAUCAUGCUUGGAUCUGUGCACAAAUUCACAAGUUUGGAUGCAUCAUAGAACUUGUGGUGAUGUUGUUUAGAUUGCAGCAAGCAAGAAUUAUGCUGUCAUUCUCUUGCACUCUGCUAUGCAGCUCUUGUUUACCUUAAAUGCAACUAUUGGUGCACUUGUUAAAUGCCAUUAUUUGUGUUGUUUGCUUCCUUUGCAUGCAUGGUUAUACAGUUUGGUGCCCCCAUGGCCUGAAAUACAUUGAAUUGUGGGCCUCUUCUUGAUAUCUUGUUGCUUAGGGUUUUGUUUCGGGGUUUCUUAAUGUACUCGUGCUUAAUAGACUGCACCACAGAGGUCACCCUCAUAUGGAUAAUGAAUCAUUAUCCUUUUUCUUGUGUACUUGAGAUGUUCCUAACGAAUAAUUUACUAGACAAACAAUCUUGUUUGCAGUAAGAAUUCUAGCAUGCCAAAAUCUAUUGUCUAUGUAUGCUUCGGUUAAUAUGGACCUGAAUGUCAAGGGCUAGCCAACCUGCUUAGCUAGAUUAACAUAACAGAAAUAGUACACAACAAGCCAGCUCGUGUUUGCAUUGCUGCCACAUCGGCUAGCUAGAUGUGAUUGCCUAAGGGCUAGUCAACACAUUUUACAGCAUUCUGUGUUGUAGCCAAACACUUGCUCUGUAUUCUGAAUACUCUAAAAAACUCUGUUAAAUUAAAACCAUGGUAUUGCGUACCUGCCAACUAAAUUACCGCAAUUUUUAAUACUUUGUUUAAUUUGAUACUUUGCUAUUAGAUUUACUUUUAUUUUGUUCCUAAACAUUCUGUUCUACAAUGUGCACAUGAUGGCCUUUCAUUCAGGACAAAAAAGUGGGAUGAGGCAUAGUUUUACCUCAUUGAGCUAGUUCUGAUAGUAACAAAGUCCUUCUAACAGAACUUGUAUGUGUGCUAGUUCUGGGAGCUACUUCAUUGGAAUAAUGCUGAUCCUCUAGUAGAACUUGUAGGGCUCCUGUGAUAGACUCAUGUGAUAGACUUGGGCUGAUACACUUGGGAUGUAUGUGUGUUAUCUGAUUGUAAACUUGAUGCUGAUCACAUUUGUAUGUGUGUUAUAUGAUGUAGCAGUUUGAUGGUUGAUAAUAUUUAAAGUAUUUCGUGUGUUUUCUGUGUGCCAAUUUAAAUACCAGGUAUUUAUUUGCGUGAAAUAAAAAAAUGAAGAAUAUUGCCCUGAUGGCUAGGACCCAGUAGUAGAACUAGACAAUGGGGGACCCACCUGACUAGUGAACCCAAUUUAGAAAAAAAGAAAAAAAAUGAAACUGUUGAGACAAAAAGGCCAUGGGCCAAAAAUAAAAAGGCUGCAAUGUUGGGCUUGGUCCAUGAAGCUGACAAAAAAUUCACAUGAAAAAAAAUAUAGAAAGGCCGAAUUCUUGGGCUAGGCCCAUGUAGAAAACCGAAUUGGACCGGGCUGAAUCUUGUGCCACAUCAGCUUGCCACGCUGGAUGCCUACGUGGCCUGGGGAGGUUGCUAGUGACCAAAACGCCACAGUGGACAUAUUUUGGUCAUAAACGUCUUCGACCAUUCCAGAAGAAAGGUCGCUAUAGUCAGUUUACGACCAUCAGCUUUUGACCUUCUGUUUUUGGUCACAAAAAGGUCGCAAAUGAAAAACCAUGACCUUUCAGUGACCAAUAGUGGUGUUCACAAGUUGACAUAUUUCUUGUAGUGUUUUACCACUUGUUACCUUGUUGUUUUUAUCAUUUCAGAUUACAAAUACCUUUAUCUACCAUCUAUAUUGCACCUGUAUCACCAUCUCUUCGCCGAACUAGUGCACCUGUACAAUUUACCAUUAUAUUGGGUGUGUCGGGGACACAAGGGACUCUUUGUUAUUUGGUUGCAGAGUUGUUUGAGAGAGACCAUCUUCAUCCUACGCCUCCUACAGAUUGAUAAACCUUAGGUCAUCCACUUAAGGGAAAUUUGCUACUGUCCUACAAAUCUGUGCACUUGCAGGCCCAACAACGUCUACAAGAAGAAGGUUGUGUAGUAGACAUCAAGCUCUUUUCUGGCGCCAUUGCCGGGGAGGUUAGCGCUGGAAGGUAUAUCUUUAGAUCUUGCAAUCGAAUCUUUUUGUUUCUUGUUUAUCACUAGUUUAGUUUAUAAAGAAAACUACAAAAAAUGGAAUUGAGUUUGUCUCAUACGCUUCACCUUUUUAAUAUCUUUCGUGAGUAUGAUGGAAAGGAUAAUUGUGCUCAAGUGCUAGAAGAAGAAAUCUCUAAAUUGUUUGGCACUAAAUAUUUGAAUGAUUAGCAUGAUUGCAAUGUUGUUAGUACGAAUUCUUUGAAUAUCCAUGAUGCUAAUGAUGAUUGCACUAGUUAUGAUGAAAAUGUCUCCUAUAAACAUGUCAAUUUUUUGGAGUGCAUUGGAUUUGUAAGUACACACCAAAUAGGGAAGAUAGAUAUUGCAAGAGGCAUAAGUACUUAGAAACCAAAUUGUUGCAAGAAGAGCUAGAUGAAUGUGCUGAAAGAUUGAAUAUUUAUAGUACCCCUUGUGAACUUUGCAAUGAACAUGGUCAUUUAAAGCUCCAAUGCUAUUUGUUUCAUGAUCAAGUCGUUUCCAAAUAUUGUGAUAAUUUGAUUACCUUUGAGCAUCAUAAAGAGCUUAACCUUCUUUUGGGUUAUGAAGAAAUGAAACGUAUAACCAACUAUCUCCCAGAUCUUGCCCGUUAUAAACUUCUUGGUUUUGAUAUAGAGGAAAUUUAUAUGUAUUGUGUGGAGAAUUGCAUUGAAAAUCCUUAUAUUGCCAAUUACCUAAAGAAAAGAAAGCAAAUGGAAGAUGAUGAGUAUACUAAUGAAAGGAAGAGGCUUCCCAAUCUCCUCCUGUUAUUUCUUAUGAUGAAUCGGGUAACGAGGAGGAGCUUUCUAUUCAGCCAAUCUCAUCAAUAAGGAGCUCAAAGAGGAAGGUUGAACCUACACAUAAUGUGAAGAAGAAAAAGAAAAGAAGGAGCAACAAAGGUAAAAAGGUAUCCCUCCCAAAUGAUGUUGCUCCUACUACUACUUGUGAUGAUGAUAAUUGCUAUACUAUUGGUGCUAUCCAUAUUUUCAAUGAUGAGAGUGAUUAUGCUUGUGAUAUGAAAGGGCCCAAGCUUGGGGAAGCUAUGUUUGAUGAGUAUGAAAUAUUUGAGAAUAUAUUUGCUGAAAUUAAUGUUUGUCCCAAGCUUGGGGAUGCUAUGUUUAAUGAAGAUGAUAUUUUUAGCAUCCCAAGUUUUGAUAUGCAAAGUUGUUAUGAUGAUAGCAUGCCUCCUACCUAUGGUGAUUAUAUUGAUGAAAGUGGGUUCGGAAGAGUGUCAACUUUAGGAAGUAGUGAUCCCACUAUUUUGGAGAAUGUUGAAUCUAUUUGUGAUGAAUAUGAAAGUGGAUUUGGAAGACUGUCAACUUUAUUUAGAGAUUCCACUAUCUUGGGAGAGGUUUCGAUCGAUUAUGAUGAGAACGAAGUUGCUACUUAUGAUGAUUAUUGUGAUGAAACUUAUGGUAUAAAAAUUAGCGAUGAUUAUAUUUACAAACCUUGUCAUGAUUAUGAUUACCCUUUUUCUGAACAUUACUCUUUUAAUGUGGAAACAAUUUUUAGUGUUCAAGUCUCUUAUGAUACUCCCAUUUUUCCGAAUGAGAAGAAUUUUGCUAAUGUGGAGAGUAGUAAAUUUUCUAUGCUUGUAGAUCAUGAAAAGAAUGUUUUAGGUGCUGGUUACAUUAUUGAAUUCAUUCAUGAUGCUACUGAAAACUAUUAUAAGAGAGGAACAUAUGCUUGUAGGAGUUGCAAUAAUAUCAAGUUUCCUCUCUAUGUGUUAAAUUUUUUGAAGCUAUGCUUGUUUUGCCAUCCUAUGCUAGUUGAUUAUUGUUCACAUAAGUUGUUUGCUCACAAAAUCCCUAUGCAUAGGAAGUGGGUUAGACUUAAAUGUGCUAGUCAUAUGCUUCAUGAUGCCCCCGUUAUGUUUCAAUUCUUAUCUUUUAUGUGAGCAUCAUGGUCAUCAUCAUGCCUAGCUAAAAAGGCAUUAAAGAAAAGCUCUUGUUGGGAGACAACCCAAUAUUUACCCUUACUGUUUUUGUGUAUCCACAUGAUUAUGCUACUGUAGUAAUCUUGUUUUAUUGCUUUUGUUUCAAUAAAGUGCCACGUAGAACCUUUUGAAAGACUUGGGUGAAGUUUAUGUGAUCUUGCUGUCAAAAACAGAAACUUUAGCGCUCACGAGAUUAGCUUCCAUUUUUACUGGAGAGUUCUUUUAGGUUGAUUCUUUUUGAAGAUGAUUAAUAGAAAAUUACUAGGGUCCAAAAAUUUAUUUCAUAAUUUUUUGGGUUCCAGAAGUAUACGUUUGAUACAGAUUACUACAGACUGUUUUGUUUUUGACAUAUUCUGUUUUCAUUGUGUUGUUUGCUUAUUUUGAUGCAUCUAUGGCCAGUAUUAAGUGGUAUGAACCAUAAAGAAGUUGGAAUACAGUAGGUAUUACACCAAUAUUAAUUUAGAAUGAGUUCAUUACAGUACCUAAGUGGCGGUUUUAUUUUCUUAUACUAACGGAGUUUACGAGUUUUGUUUUGAGUUUUGUGUGGUUGAAGUUUUCAAGUUUUGGGUAAAGAUUCGAUGGACUAUAGAAUAAGUAGUGGCAAGAGACUAAGCUUGGGAAUGCCCAAGGCACCCCAAGGUAAUAUUCAAGGACAACCAAGAGCCUAAGCUUGGGGAUGCCCCGGAAGGCAUCCCCUCUUUCGUCUUCGUUCAUCGGUAACUUUACUUGCAGCUAUAUUUUUAUUCGCCACAUGAUAUGUGUUUUGCUUGGAGCGUCAUUUUCUUUUGCUAAGUUUUUGCUUGCUGUUAGUUAGAGUAAUGUUUUGCAUCUUUAGUUUCAAUAAAAAUGUCAAGGAUAGCCUUUGCCAUGCUUAUUUUGCUAGUAUACAUGUUGCUGUUUGAAAAUAGAAAGUUUACCGCUGUUGCAAAAAUUCCCUAGAAAAGUCAGAGAAUGGUAAAAUGUUGAAUCUUUUUGAAUAUUAAGCUCUGAUAAAUUUAUUACAGUGGGAAUUUUAGUUCAUAAUUUUUGGAGUCAGAGAAGUAUUGAUACUCUUGCAUUCUUUACAGACUGUACUGUUUUGGCAGAUUGCUGUUAUGGUUGCAUUGUUUGCAUAUGUUUGCUUGUUUAAUGAUUCUAUUUGAGGAUAGAAGUAUUAAAUAUACAGAGGCAUUUAGUACUCAAUGUUGAAUAAUAAUUUUAGUGAUUUGUUACAGUAGAAUAUGAUAAGGUUUUGCAUUGGCUUAUACUAACCUAUCUCACGAGUUCUUGUUGAGUUUGUUGUGAAUGAAGCUUUUGAUAAAAAGAGAAACCAUGAUAUGAGAGGAAUUAAGGAGACACAAAAGUUCAAGCUUGGGGAUGCCCAAGGCACCCCAAAAUAAUAUUUCAAGAAGUCUCAAGCAUCUAAGCUUGGGGAUGCCCCGGUAGGCAUCCCACCUUUCUUCUUUGGCAAUCAUCGGUUAGUACCGGUUGAACCUAAGUUUUUGCUUCUUCACAUGAGUUGUGCUAUCCUUACAAUGUAGUUUUGUUUAGCUUUUCUUGCUGUUUGACUAAAGUAUCAAGAUCUGAAAUUAUUAAAUGAGAGAGUCUUUGCAUAGUUGCAUAAUUAUUUAGCUACUCAUUGAUCUUCACUUAUAUCUUUCAGAGUAGUUUGUCGUUUUCUCUAGUGCUUCACUAAGAUCUUUUAGAGCACAGUGGUGGAUUUGUUUUAAAGAAACUAUUGAUCUCUCAUGCUUCACUUAGAUCAUUUUGAGAGUCAUUAAUAGCAUGGUAAUUUGCUUAAUGUUAAUAUACUUGGUAUUCAAGAUAUGUGAAACUUUCUUUUGAGUGCGUUGAAUACUAAGAUAAGUUUGAUACUUGAUAAUUGUUUUGAGAUAUGGAGGUAGUGAUAUUAAAGUCAUGCUAGUUGGGUGAUUAUGAAUUUAAAGAAUGCUUGUGUUGAAGUUUGCAAGUCCCGUAGCAUGCACGUAUGGUUAAAAUUGUGUAACAAAUUUGAAACAUGAAGUGUACCUGGCUUGUGCAUCCUUAUGAGUGGCGGUCGGGGACGAGCGAUGGUCUUUUCCUACCAAUCUAUCCCACUAGGAGCAUGCGCAUAGUACUUGAUUUUUUAUGACUUCUAAAUUUUUGCAAUAAGUAUACGAGUUCUUUUGACUAAUGUUGAGUCCAUGGAUUAUACACACUCUCACCUUUCCGCCUUUGCUAGCCUCUUCGGUACCGUGCAUUGCCCUUUCUCACCUUGAGAGUUGGUUUAAACUUUGCCGGUGCAUCCAAACACUACUAGGGAAAACCCUAGCAGUAGCGCUAGUUUUGUGCUCACUAGUAGCGCGGGUAGGCGCGCUACUAAUAAGGCGCUACAACUAUUGCUUAGCAGUAACGCGUGCUGGCGCGCGCUAUUGCUAGGACAAAUAGCUGCAGCGUUUGUUCACCCCCACGCUACUGCUAAUGAAACUAGUGGCAGCGCGUUUUCCCUCCAUCGUUACUAGUAUUCAUUUUUUAUUUUUUUUAUUUUUAGUGUAUUUAUGCGGUUUUCUCUCCAUCGUACAAAUAUUGGUACAAUACCAGUUAUGAGGUUUACAUCAUUAUGUCCAUAACAGUGUGUCAAAUGAAGGUGGAUUAGGUUCAAGUGGAGGCAAUAUGUGGUGCAUGUCAAAAGUAUACUACUAAUCCAAACUUGAUCUAGUUUGGACUAGUAGUACUUUCGAUGUGCACCACAUGUUGCCUCUACUUGAAUCUAAUCCGCCAGCACAAGCUAUUUAAUCAUCAUCAUAGUCAUUAUCACCAACAAUAUUUAUUUAAUCACCACUAACACUAGCUAAUAAUAAUCAUCAUAGUCCUUACCACCAACACUAGCUAUUUUAUCAUCAUAGUAAUAGUGUAGCACAUCAUCAUCUUCAAACUCAUUUCUAGCUAGUUAAUCACUCCUGCUGCUCUCUCGCAGGUAAAAUAACAUAAAACAUGUAUAGCUCUCCUCCUUGAUCAAGUUGGAGCAUGUAGAUGAACUUGUCUCCUAAUCGUGGGUAGCGCAUCUGUUUGCUGCCCCCUAGUACUUCUCUGCGCUCCCCCAUCACAUAUUUGGUCCAGUCUUGCACUAUUAAGCAUCCGUCGCUAAUCUUGAAUGCACUAAAGUAAUCUGUAGGAUAUAUUGGACGUAAGCUAAUAGUACUCAUGGUACCUUUAGUCUUGAUCCCAUAAGGUACAACAUUCAUCGGGACUCCCUGUUGAAGAACAUCGUAUGGUAACAUACUUAGCAAUGAAGUUUAGCUUCAAAAAUAAUGUAUGGAAAAGAUGCACUAAGGACAAAUAUUAAAAAUCUUACCAUCCUUCCUAAAUAGAUGUGACCGUAGUUCAUUACGAACACUAUUGGUCGCACGUUUUCAGUACUAGCAUUUCUAAAUCCAGGAAGAAAAUUUGUCUUGAUAGUAUCAAGAUCCGCAAGCCAUGAAACAUAAUGACUAAGCUCCUCGCAGUUGAGUUCAGCCCCGGCACAGUAUACGGUCCUGUCUACCAAGCGCUGGACAUGUUUGCUUGUACCGAAAUAAGCUAUCAAUAGAAAUUAAUUGUCAACUAUUUUUGAAUAAACAAUAUCAAAGACAUAAAUAUGGUUGAGAAACUCACAUUUUGGUAUAACUGGAGGCGUCUGCACAUCGACCCAGAUGUCGGUAUUACCUUCAAUAUCAUCUUCCGGACGAAUAUCAAAGGUGAUAACCAUAUCAGGCUCAAAUGCAUAAGUCUUGCAUAGUGCUCCCCAUGUUUUGCAUCCAAAAUAGGUGUAGUCGUCUGAAUUGUAUAAUUUUGCAUGGAAAAUAUAACCAUGCUCGAUCUUCAAGUAAAAUUUCUUUACCUCCAUAGUACGACUGCAACCUAUCUUAUCCAAUACAAAAACUCUUGCAUGGCAGGGGAUACGCUAGUAGAAGAAUAAAACAAAUUAUAAGUUGAAGCAAAUGAAGCAUAUGUCAUGCUUAAUUACGAAAAAAGACUUGUCAUCGUGACUUACUGUAUCCACUUCGAAGUUCUCGUCCAGCUUGAUGCUGAAGCGCCUAUCAUCAUCUAGGAAGAUUCUGUCACACAGGCCGCGCUUGUCUUUGCAGUAUUUGCAAAUACCGAAAUCCUUUUUGUCAUCAGACAUUUCCUAUGUUCAUAGUUAAAACAUUAAUUGAAAAUCGAUCAAAGACAACUACCAGGAUACUCAACACACAAAUCCGGGGCACUCGAUAUUUUCUACAUAUUCUGGCAUAAGUCAUGCCAAAAUUCACGGAAAAAUCCGGCAUGACCUUUGCUAAAAUAGGACAUAUCGAGCGCCUGAAAUUUGCCGGAACGGAAAUGAAUCAACACUCCAGCAAAACAUAGGCCACUCGGAGGUGUAACCUGCAAACAUGACCGGCCACUUGGGCAAGCACAUAUCCUAUUUGAGCAACACAAGAUAUACAUUUCAAAAUAUCUUAUAGGACUCAAAUUAGCCUGCAUUGAAUAAGCAAAUGUAAAUCAUCUCAUGCGCGUUCGUACAUCGUCGAAUAUUAUCACUAAUACAUCCCGAAUAGUGUCAUACAUAUAACAUCACUAAUACAACUAAAACCCUAGCACACGACGGGUAUCGGCGCGGGCGGUUGACACCCACAGAGAAGGAACCAUCACGGGAUCAUAGCUCCAGUGAGAUCCCUGGAGAACCUGCCAGGUAUUGGAGAACCUGUGCUCCAAUGCAAACAAGUAGCGACGGACCGCGUCCUCCUCACUGACACGGUGACGCACCACCUCCGCGGGGUCGUCGAGCCUCUGGACCGUCACUGGCCCACGCGACCGCCACCAAAAAAGGUUCGGGUCAACGACAGGCUGGCUCCUCACCAACUUGCGCCCCCCGGUAGGUAGCGCCUCCCAGUACCACCUCGGCGGAGCCCAGUCCCGGACAUGGCCCAUCUGGUCAAGCAGGUGUCGUCCUCCGCCGACUCGACGACGAGGAUGCGGGAAAAAUUGCUUUAACUAAAAAAAUAGCAACAAGUUCUUACUAACUAGUUCUAUUAAUUCAAUUAGUUCUUACUAAAAAUAAACUUACUAUAAAUAAAAAUAAACUAGUACCUAGCUAAUUAGUACCUAGUUCUUACUAACUAAUUAGUAACUAGGAACUACUGCCCUAAUUACCAUAUAGGUGUCCAUUUUUUAACUAGGGUUCGUACUACCUAAUUAAAUAGGGUUAAUACUAAUUGUAAUUAACUAACUAGCACUAAAACUAGCCUAGGGUUCAUACUAUAGCACUAAAUAGCUAGGGUUCAUACUAAGCAAACAAGAGGGAUCGAAAGGGGAGAGUACUUACAGAGGGCGACCGGGGAGAGAGAUGGGGUCGGGGGAGACGGCGGCACCGAGGCACGGCGAGGCAGGGUCGGGGGAGACGGCGGCGAGGCGGGGUCGGGGGAGACAGCAGCGAGGCGGGGUCGGGGGAGACGNNNNNNNNNNNNNNNNNNNNNNNNNNNNNNNNNNNNNNNNNNNNNNNNNNNNNNNNNNNNNNNNNNNNNNNNNNNNNNNNNNNNNNNNNNNNNNNNNNNNNNNNNNNNNNNNNNNNNNNNNNNNNNNNNNNNNNNNNNNNNNNNNNNNNNNNNNNNNNNNNNNNNNNNNNNNNNNNNNNNNNNNNNNNNNNNNNNNNNNNNNNNNNNNNNNNNNNNNNNNNNNNNNNNNNNNNNNNNNNNNNNNNNNNNNNNNNNNNNNNNNNNNNNNNNNNNNNNNNNNNNNNNNNNNNNNNNNNNNNNNNNNNNNNNNNNNNNNNNNNNNNNNNNNNNNNNNNNNNNNNNNNNNNNCGGCGACGAGGCGGGGUCAGGGGAGACGCAGCAAGGCAGGGUCGGGGGAGAUGGCCGCGAGGCGGAGUCGGGGGAGACGGCGGCGAGACGGUGGCGAGGCGGAGGCGACGAGAGGGAGAAGAGAGAGUGGGGAAUUGGGGGAGGAAGCAGAGGAGAGGGAAUCAGGCCGCGCCGGGGGUUAGGUGAGAAUAGCUUUAAUAGUAGCGUGGGGAGGAAAAACGCGUUGCUACUAAAAUCCGUAGUAGUAGCGCCAUUUCUAGAAGGGCGCUACUACUAUACCUAGCACGUCGGGACCGGUGUGGCAAUUGUAGUAGUAGCGCGUUCUGUUCCUGUCGUGCUACUGCUAAGGGGGUAACAGUAGCGCGGUUUAGCCAGACGCGCUGCUGCUAAGUAGCAGCAGCGCCUCAUUUUAACAAGCGCUACUGGUAAGAUUCUGUGUAUAAGGUUUUCCAUAGUAGUGAAACCCCGUGAUACGAUACGCUCUAUCACACAUAAACCUCCUUAUAUCUUCCUCAAAACAGCCACCAUACCUACCUAUCAUGGGAUUUCCAUAGCCAUUCCGAGAUAUAUUGCCAUGCAACUUCCAUCAUCAUAUUCAUGACAUACAUUACUUUUGUCAUAUUGCCAUUGCAUGAUCAUGUAGUUGACAUCGUAUUAGUGGCAAAGCCACCAUGCAUUAUUUUUCAUACAUGUCACUCUUGAUUCAUUGCACCAUCCCGGUACACCGCCGGAGGCAUUCAUAUAGAGUCAUAUCUUGUUCUAAGUUUCGAGUUGUAAUCCUUAUGUUGUAAUCAAUAGAAGUGUCAUGAUCAUCAUUAUUAGAGCAUUGCCAAAAAAAGAGAAAGGCAAAAAAGGCCCAAAAAAAGAAAAUAAAUAAAAAGGGCAAUGCUACUAUCUCUUUUUCCACACUUGUGCUUCAAAGUAGCACCUUGUUCUUCAUAUAGUGAGUCUCAUAAGUUGUGCUUCAAAGUAGCACCUUGUUCUUCAUGUAGUGAGUCUCAUAAAGUUGUCCUUUUCAUACUAGUAGGAAUUUUUCAUUAUAGAACUUGGCUUGUAUAUUCCUACGAUGGGCUUCCUCAAAUGCCCUAGGUCUUCAUGAGCAAGCGAGUUGGAUGCACACCCACUAGUUUUCUUUUGUUGAGCAUUCAUAGCUCUAGUGCAUCCGUUGCAUGGCAAUCCCUACUCCUCAUGUUGACAUCAAUUGAUGGGCAUCUCCAUAGCCCGUUGAUUAUCCUCGUCAAUGUGAGACUUUCUCCUUUUUUGUCUUCUCCACACAAUCCCCAUUAUCAUAUUCUAUUCCACCCAUAGUGCUAUAUCCAUGGCUCACGCUCAUGUAUUGCGUGAAGGUUGAAAAAGUUUGAAAUUAUUUAAGUAUGAAACAAUUGCUUGGCUUGUCAUCGGGGGUAUAGAAGUUGGGAACAUCUUUCUGUGACGAAAAUGAAGUAUAGCCUAACUAUAUGAUUUUGUAGGGAUGAACUUUCUUUAGCCAUGCUAUUUUGAGAAGACAUGAUUGCUUUGAUUAGUAUUCUUGAAGUAUUAUUAUUUUUAUGUCAAUAUGAACUUUUGUCUUGAAUCUUUCGGAUCUGGAUAUUCAUACCACAAUUAAGAAGAUUUAUAUUGAAAUUAUGCCAAAGUAUCACUCCGCAUCAAAUUUUUUUUUAUCAUUUACCUACUCGAGGACGAGCAAGAAUUAAGCUUGGGGAUGCUUGAUACGUCUCCGACGUAUCUGUAAUUUUUGAUUGCUCCAUGCUACUUUAUCUACUAUUUUAGGCAAUAUUGGGCUUUAUUAUCCACUUUUAUAUUAUUUUUGGGACUAACCUAUUAACCGGAGGCCCAGCCCAGAUUUGCUGUUUUAUGCCUAUUUCAGUGUUUCGUGAAAAAGGAAUAUCAGACGGAGUCAAAACGGAACGAAAUCAACUGGAGAAGUUAUUUUUGGAAGGAAAGCCACCCGAUGGACUUGGAGUGCACGUCAGGAGAUACAGGAGGUGCUCGGGCCCACCCCCUAGGGCGCGCCCCCCUGCCUCGUGGGCCCCCCGUAGCUCCACCGACGUACCCGAUGCACCCAUAUAUACCUACGUAUUGUAAAACUUCCAGAACAGAAGAUAGAUCGGGAGUUCCGCCGCCGAAAGCCUCCAGAGCCACGGAAAACCAAUCGGGACCCUGUUCCGGCACUCUACCGGAGGGGGAACCCAUCACCGGUGGCCAUCUUCAUCAUCCCGGCACUAUCCAUGACGAGGAGGGAGUAGUUCACCCUCGGGGCUGAGGGUAUGUACCAGUAGCUAUGUGUUUGAUCUCUCUCUCUCGUGUUCCCUCUAUGGCACGAUCUUGAUGUAUCCUGAGCUUUGCUAUUGUAGUUGGAUCUUAUGAUGUUUCUCUCCCUCUACUCUCUUGUGAUGAAUUGAGUUUCCCCUUUGAAGUUAUCUUAUCGGAUUGAGUCUUUUAUGAGAACACUUGAUAUAUGUCUUGCAAUCCACUUGAUGUAUGUUUUGGUGAUCAACUUGCGGGUUUCGUGACAUUGGGAACCUAUGCGUAGGGGUUGGCACACGUUCUUGACUCUCCGAUAGUAGCUUUGGGGCACUCUUUGAAGUACUUUUAUGUCGGUUGGAUGAAUCUGAGAUUGUGUGACGCAUAUCGUAUAAUCAUGCCCACAGAUACUUGAGGUGACAAUGGAGUAUCUAGGUGACAUUAGGGUUUUGGUUGAUUUAUGUCUUACGGUGUUAUUCUAAUACGAACUCUUUUAUAGAUCGAUCUGAAAGAAUAACUUUGAGGUGGUUUCGUACCCUACCAUAAUCUUUACGUUUGUUCUCCGCUAUUAGUGGCUUUGGAGUGACUCUUUGUUGCAUGUUGAGGGCUUGUUAUAUGAUCUAUCUAUGUUAUUAUUGUUGAGAGAACUUGCACUAGUGAAAGUAUGAACCCUAGGCCUUGUUUCCUAUCAUUGCAAUACCGUUUACGCUCACUUUUACCACUUGUUACCUUGCUGUUUUUAUUAUUUCAGAUUACAAAUACCUUUAUCUACCAUCUAUAUUGCACUUGUAUCACCAUCUCCUCGCCGAACUAGUGCACCUAUACAAUUUACCAUUAUAUUGGGUGUGUUGGGGACACAAGAGACUCUUUGUUAUUUGGUUGCAGGGUUGUUUGAGAGAGACCAUCUUCAUCCUACGCCUCCUAUGGAUUGAUAAACCUUAGGUCAUCCACUUGAGGGAAAUUUUCUACUGUCCUACAAACUUGUGCACUUGCAGGCCCAACAACGUCUACAAGAAGAAGGUUGUGUAGUAGACAUCAGUGCUCAUAGGGGUAGGGUGUGCGUGUGUGCGUUCAUAGGGGUGAGUGUAUGCGCGUGUAUAUGAGCGUUUGCGUAUGUAAUGUGUUUAAAAAAAAGAACUAUGCGGCAUAGAAUGGGCCAUGCUGCACUCGACUACCCACUAGAUUUUUUUAAGAUAGUUCCUUCGUCCUCUUCUGUUUUCUUUUCUGGAUCUUAGUAUCAGCACCAGGUAUUUGUUUUCCAUUGCUUGCUGCUAUGAUAAAUGAUCAAUAUGAAAUGUCGGCAACAUGCUGGAUCUUUUAAAAAAUAACUUCUAAAAAAUUUCUACAAUUUUCAGAAUUUAAUCCAUUGCUUGAGAAAGAAUAAAACACAAGUCAGGCACCGAUAUGUAAUGAUAAUAUGUUAAAUUCACAGCCUGUCAUGCAACCCACAAUUUGCAAUCGAAUUGUCUCUUCUUUUCAUUUAUCGGGUUGUUGAUCAAACUUAACAUUUUUACAUGGCAAAUAUAUGUUGUGCUUAUAAUGAUAGUUCCCUGUUUUCUAUCCAUGGCUAAGAAAUAAUGGUUCCUAAUUCAAAAACCAUCAUGGUCAAAACUUUAGGCUUUGUGGAACGAAGACGACGACUCUGAAGGUCUUUCUUUCCUCUCUCACAAGGCGUCUAUGGCAAAGCCUUCGUCCCCCCUGAUCUCCAUCGACAAGAUCGUGGAGUCGCCUCCCCUUUGUCAGCCGCUUCAACGGUGUGUAGAAGGGAGAUCAAUCUUGGUGUCUCGGCUCUGACUUGUAGAUAGGUUAGGAUUUUAGUUCUUGUAGGGGCGGCAAUUGGACGGAUGACGACUCUUCUUCUUCUUCGAGUCAGUAUUCCGGGCUCCGAUCCUCAUCAAGUUCGUCCAUCAGAGCGGAUUAGAAGAUUCUUGUCAGUUCCUUGUGGUGACGAGGUUAGGGUUUCUUGUGGUGCAUAGGGACAAUGAGAUUUGGUGUUAGGUUCACAUUGGUUCAAGGUUCAACGACGAUGACCGCGACUCUGGGGCGCUAGUCCUUAGCGGCACACGCAUGAAGACUUUCUACCUAUCAUCGCCAGCUCCGGUAUGUGAGCAGCCACAUGUUCUAGCCAUUGCAGUGGUCGUUAGGUGGCUCACGGGCCUCGAUAUAAAUUUUAUUAUGUUUAGGUGUUUUAUACUUUAGAAGAAAUUGCAUUAGUAAUAAAUUCAUAUUAUUCUUUUGAAAAGGAGAAUCGCCCUUGGCAUCUGAGUAAUAAAUUCAUAUGAAUUUAUAAAAAAAUUAGAACUUUCCUGGGUAAAGUUUAUUGAGGGAGUUUUUGUAAUAGAUAUGAAUGCCUUUUGGAAAAAAAGAACUUCAUACAGGUGGUAAUGGGAGAAUAAAAUCUUUGAUUCAACUACUGUUAAUUUUUACAUUGACUGAGCAAAAUUCAUUUUCUUCUUGUAUUCAUAUUCACACACAUGAGUAUGUUUGACAAUAAUUUAGUAAGGCCCAUGAGUUAUCUUUAGUAAAACGGAAAAGCUAAUCCGGACGGGAGGAUUUUAGCGACAGAUCCGCACACAUCACACGUCGUUGGAUCCUAUUUCUACGGUUGAGUUUACGUCCCGAUCUAACUGCCCUUUCUUCGUUGAUCGUGCACCUUCCCGUUAGGCUGGUCACAGUGGGGAGUAACUUAGACUAGUAACAUGCAUAUGUUACUAGUCUAUAUUACUACUUUUAUAGUGCAUAGUAUCAUAGAUUAGUAUCAUAAGUGGUCUCAUUUACUGUCAUGCAUGACAUAUAGUAGCAUCACGUUUAUUAUGUUACGGUAUCUAUCUAUGUUACUAUAACCAUCUCUUUCUUCUUUAAUGGCCUGCCACAUAAUCAUGUUUGUGGGCCUCAAAUGCAUGAUACUACUUAUGUUACCCCCACUAUGACCAGCCUUAAUUCUGUAAUUUAAAGACCCACCUCCCCACUAAUUCCGGGAUCUCCCGCACGUCCACUUAUGCCAAUUUUUUGAGAAAAAUUAAUUCAUGAGAAGGGUGACUCGAACCUGUUACGCAUCAGGCUAGGUAGCAGUUCCCAAACCAUCGCACCAACUGAAGUUGUUUGACUCGUUCUUAUGCAUAUCUUUACUUGACUUAACUAGCGCUACAAAAUAGAAUGGUAAUUUUUUGAUCAGCCUAGAUUUGCUGCUAUUUUUGCUGGCUCUUGCCAUUUACCCGAGCUCCAGAAGCGCUAAUGCUAGGUGAUUUUUUGAUCUGCAAUUUCUCCACUGAUUUUGUAUCUUCUUUUUUUAUCUUACACGCAAACACCGCAAAAAAAUUAACCCAGAAAAAAAAAGUUGUUGAAUAAUAUACUCCCGACAAUUUCUGUAUAAAUAGCAUAAUAAAAUACACAUCGUUUACUUGAUAACUUAAGUACAAACUAGACAGUAAUUUUUGACCGCGUGAUUUGGUGAGAAUAUACCCCGGUAAUUUUCAUGUAAAUGCAUGGUAAUACACUCACGACAUGGUUGAUAAUUCUCACACAAACAUCAUGAUAACUUUUGACCCAAGAAAAAAAUUAUUGACAAACAUACACAGUUAACUUAUAUGGAAAAUUAACAUGUUAAUAUGCGCACAACAGAGUUGAUAACUUACCUAGCCGAAGUGUGAUAAUUUUUUGACCAGGGAAAACAUCUGUUGAAACACUCUCCCCCGGUAACUCAUGUGUACUAGCAUGGUAAUAUACACACAACAAUGCUGAUAACUUACUUAGCCCAGACAUGGUAACUACUUUUGACUUGGGGAGGGGGGUGGUUGUUGAAAAAUAGCAUUGUAAAUUCUGUACAGAAAGAAUGGUACCACACACACAACAGACCUGGUAACUCAUACACAAACAUCACGAUGACUUUGACCCGGAUGGCUUUGUUGAAAACAUACCCCUGAUAACUUUCGUGUAAAUAGCUUGGUACCAUAUGUACCAUAUGUUGGGGAACGUUGUAGAAAAUAAAAAAAUUCCUAUGGUUUCAUCAAGAUCAAUCUAUGAGUUCAUCUAGCAACGAGAGAGAGGAGUGCAUCUACAUACCCUUGUAGAUCGAGCGGAAGCGUUCAAGAGAACGGGGUUGAGGGAGUCGUACUCGUCGUGAUCCAAAUCAUCAGAGAUCCUAGCAUCGAACGAACAGCACCUCCGCGUUCAACACACGUACGGUUGGGAAGACGUCUCCUCCUUCUUGAUCCGGCAAGGGAGGAGGAGAGGUUGAUGAAGAUCCAGCAGCACAACGGCGUGGUGGUGGAUGCAGCAGCAAUCUCGGCAGGGCUUCGCCAAGCUUCUGCGAGAGGGAGAGGUGUAGCAAGGGGAGAGGGAGGCGCCAAGAGCAUGGGUGCGGCUGCCCUUCCUCCCCCCUCUUUAUAUAGGGCCCCUAGGGGGGGCGACGGCCAAGGGGGUGGCUUGCCCCCCAAGGCAAGUGGAGACGCCCCCCACCACUAGGAUUCCAUCCCUAGGCACAGGGGGGGCCAAGGGGGGGCGCACCAGCCCACCAGGGGAUGGUUCCCCUUCCACUUCAGCCCAUGGGGCCCUCCGGGAUAGGUGGCCCCACCCGAUGGACCCCCGGGACCCUUCCGGUGGUCCCGGUACAAUACCGGUGACCCCCGAAACUUUCCCGAUAACCGAAACCUGACUUCAUAUAUAUAAUUCUUUACCUCCGGACCAUUUUGGAACUCCUCGUGACGUCGGGGAUCUCAUCCGGGACUCCGAACAACUUUCGGUUUACUGCAUACUCAUAUCUCUACAACCCUAGCGUCACUGAACCUUAAGUGUGUAGACCCUACAGGUUUGGGAGACACGCAGACAUGACCGAGACGCCUCUCCGGUCAAUAACCAACAGCGGGAUCUGGAUACCCAUGUUGGCUCCCACAUGCUCCUCGAUGAUCUCAUCGGAUGAACCGCGAUGUCGAGGAUUUAAGCAACCCCGUAUACAAUUCCCUUUGUCAAUCGGUACGUUACUUGCCCGAGACUCGAUCGUCGGUAUCCCAAUACCUCGUUUAAUCUCGUUACCGGCAAGUCACUUUACUCGUACCGUAAUGCAUGAUCCCAUGACCAGACACUUGGUCACAUUGAGAUCAUUAUGAUGAUGCAUUACCGAGUGGGCUCAGAGAUACCUCUCCGUCAUACGGAGUGACAAAUCCCAGUCUCGAUUCGUGCCAACCCAACAGACACUUUCGGAGAUACCCGUAGUGCACCUUUAUAGUCACCCAGUUACGUUGUGACGUUUGGCAUACCCAAAGCACUCCUACGGUAUCCGGGAGUUGCACAAUCUCAUGGUCUAAGGAAAUGAUACUUGACAUUUGGAAAAGCUCUAGCUAAACGAACUACACGAUCUUUGAGCUAUGCUUAGGAUUGGGUCUUGUCCAUCACAUCAUUCUCCUAAUGAUGUGAUCCCGUUAUCAAUGACAUCCAAUGUCCAUAGUCAGGAAACCAUGACUAUUUGUUGAUCAAUGAGCUAGUCAACUAGAGGCUCACUAGGGACAUGUUGUGGUCUAUGUAUUCACACCUGUAUUACGAUUUCCGGAUAAUACAAUUAUAGCAUGAAUAACAGACAAUUAUCAUGAACAAAGAAAUAUAAUAAUAACCAUUUUAUUAUUACCUCUAGGGCAUAUUUCCAACAGUCUCCCACUUGCACUAGAGUUCAAUAAUCUAGUUACAUUGUGAUGAAUCGAACACCCAUGGAAUUCUGGUGCUGAUCAUGUUUUGCCCUAGGGAGAGGUUUAGUCAACGGAUCUGCUACAUUCAGGUCCGUAUGUACUUUACAAAUAUCUAUGUCUCCAUCUUGAACAUUUUCACGAAUAGAGUUGAAGCGACGCUUGAUGUGCCUGGUCUUCUUGUGAAACCUGGGCUCCUUGGCAAGUGCAAUAGCUCCAGUGUUGUCACAGAAGAGUUUGAUCGGCCCCGACGCAUUGGGUAUGACUUUUAGGUCGGUGAUGAACUCCUUCACCCAGAUUGCUUCAUGUGCUGCCUCCGAGGCUGCCAUGUACUCUGCUUCACAUGUAGAUCCCGCCAUGACGCUUUGCUUGCAACUGCACCAGCUUACUUCCCCACUAUUCAAAAUAUACAUGUAUCCGGUUUGUGACUUUGAGUCAUCCAGAUCUGUGUCGACCUAACCCUUUACGACGAGCUCUUCGUCACCUCAAAAAACGAGAAACAUAUCCUUAGUCCUCUUUAGGUACUUCAGGAUAUUCUUGACCGCUGUCCAGCGUUCCUUGCCGGGAUUACUUUGGUACUUUCCUACCAAACUUACGGCAAGGCUUACAUCAGGUCUGGUACACAACAUGGCAUACAUAAUAGACCCUAUGGCUGAGGCAUAGGGGAUGACACUCAUCUCUUCUAUAUCUUCUGCCGUGGUCGGGCAUUGAGCCGAGCUUAAUCUCACACCUUGCAAUAUAGGCAAGAACCCUUUCUUGGACUGAUCCAUAUUGAACUUCUUUAAUAUCUUGUCAAGGUAUGUGCUUUGUGAAAGACCUAUGAGGCGUCUCGAUCUAUCCCUAUAGAUCUUGAUGCCUAAUAUGUAAGCAGCUUCUCCAAGGUCCUUCAUUGAAAAACACUUAUUCAAGUAGGCCUUAAUGUUGUCCAAAAGUUCUAUAUCAUUUCCCAUCAGAAGUAUGUCAUCUACAUAUAAUAUGAGAAAUGCUACAGAGCUCCCACUCUCUUUCUUGUAAACGCAGGCUUCUCCAUAAGUCUGCAUAAACCCAAAUGCUUUGAUCAUCUCAUCAAAGUGAAUGUUCCAACUCCGAGAUGCUUGCACCAGCCCAUAAAUGGAUCACUGGAGCUUGCAUACCUUGUUAGCAUUCUUAGGAUCAACAAAACCUUCCGGCUGCAUCAUAUACAGUUCUUCCUUAAGAUAACCGUUAAGGAAUGCCGUUUUGACGUCCAUCUGCCAUAUCUCAUAAUCAUAAUAUGCGGCAAUUGCUAACAUGAUUCGGACGGACUUCAGCUUCGCUACGGGAGAGAAAGUCUCAUCAUAGUCAACCCCUUGAACUUGUCGAUAACCCUUAGUGACAAGUCGAGCUUUAUAGAUGGUAACAUUACCAUCCGCGUCCGUCUUCUUCUUAAAGAUCCAUUUGUUUUCUAUCACUCACCGAUCAUCGGGAAAGUCUGUCAAAGUCCAUACUUUAUUUUCAUACAUGGAUUCUAUCUCGGAUUGCAUGGCUUCAAGCCAUUUAUUGGAAUCUGGGCCCGCCAUCGCUUCUUCAUAGUUCGAAGGUUCACCGUUGUCUAACAACAUGAUUUCUAGGACAGGGUUGCCAUACCACUCUGGUGUGGAAGGUGUCCUUGUGGACCUACGAAGUUCAGUAGAAACUUGAUCCAAAGUACCUUGAUCAUCAUCAUUAAUUUCCUCUCCAGUCGGUGUAGGCACCACAGGAACAUCUUCCUGAGCUGCGCUACUUACCGGUUCAAGAGGCAGUACUUCAUCAAGUUCCACUUUCCUCCCACUUACUUCUCUCGAGAGAAACUCUUUCUCCAGAAAGGACCCAUUCUUGGCAACAAAGAUCUUGCCUUCGGAUCUAAGGUAGAAGGUAUACCCAAUGGUUUCCUUAGGGUAUCCUAUGAAGACGCAUUUUUCUGACUUGGGUUCGAGCUUUUCAGGUUGAAGUUUCUUGACAUAAGCAUCGCAUCCCCAAACUUUUAGAAACGACAGCUUAGGUUUCUUUCCAAACCAUAAUUCAUACGGUGUCGUCUCAACGGAUUUAGACGGUGCCCUAUUUAAAGUGAAUGUAGCUAUCUCUAGAGCGUAUCCCCAAAAAGAUAGCGGUAAAUCGGUAAGAGACAUCAUAGAUCGCUCCAUAUCUAAUAAAGUGCGAUUACGACGUUCGGACACACCGUUACGCUGAGGUGUUCCAGGCAGCGUGAGUUGUGAAACGAUUCCAUAUUUCCUUAAGUGCAUACCAAAUUUGUGACUUAAAUAUUCUCCUCCACGAUCUGAUCGUAAGAACUUUAUUUUUCGGUCACCUUGAUUCUCUACCUCAUUCUGAAAUUCCUUGAACUUUUCAAAGGUCUCAGACUUGUGUUUCAUCAGGUAGACGUACCCAUAUCUACUUAAGUCAUCAGUGAGAGUGAGAACAUAACGAUAUCCUCCGCGAGCCUCAAUGCUCAUUGGACCGCACACAUUAGUAUGUAUGAUUUCCAAUAAGUUGGUUGCUCGCUCCAUUGUUCCGAAGAACGGAGUCUUGGUCAUUUUGCCCAUGAGGCAUGGUUCACAUGUGUCAAAUGAUUCAUAAUCGAGAGACUCUAAAAGUCCAUCAAUAUGGAGCUUCUUCAUGCGCUUGACACCAACGUGACCAAGGCGGCAGUGCCACAAGUAUGUGGGACUAUCGUUAUCAACUUUACAUCUUUUGGUAUUCACACUAUGAAUAUGUGUAACAUCACGUUCGAGAUUCAUUAAGAAUAAACCAUUGACCAUCGGGGCAUGACCAUAAAACAUAUCUCUCAUAUAAAUAGAACAACCAUUAUUCUCAGAUUUAAAUGAGUAGCCAUCUCGUAUUAAACAAGAUCCAGAUACAAUGUUCAUGCUCAAAGCUGGCACUAAAUAACAAUUAUUGAGGUUAAAACUAAUCCCGUAGGUAAAUGUAGAGGUAGCGUGCCGACGGCGAUCACAUCGACUCUGGAACCAUUCCCGACGCGCAUCGUCACCUCGUCCUUCGCCAGUCUUCGCUUAUUCCGCAGCUCCUGCUUUGAGUUACAAAUAUGAGAAACGGCACCGGUAUCAAAUACCCAGGAGCUACUACAAGCACUGGUAAGGUACACAUCAAUUACAUGUAUAUCACAUAUACCUUUAGUGUUGCCGGCCUUCUUGUCCGCUAAGUAUUUGGGGCAGUUCCGCUUCCAGUGACCCUUCCCUUUGCAAUAAAAGCAGUCAGUCUCAAGCUUGGGUCCAUUCUUUGACUUCUUCCCGGCAGUUGGCUUACCGGGCGCGGUAACUUCCUUGCCGUCCUUCUUGAAGUUCUUCUUACCCUUGCCUUUCUUGAAUUUAGUGGUUUUAUUCACCAUCAACACUUGAUGUUCCUUUUUGAUCUCUACCUCUGUUGAUUUCAUCAUUGAAUAUACUUCAGGAAUGGUCUUUUCCAUCCCCUGCAUAUUGAAGUUCAUCACAAAGCUCUUGUAGCUCGGUGGAAGCGACUGAAGGAUUCUGUCAAUAACCGCGUCAUCCGGGAGAUUAACUCCCAGCUGAGUCAAGCGGUUAUGCAACCCAGACAUUUUGAGUAUGUGCUCACUGACUGAACUAUUUUCCUCCAUCUUACAGCUGAAGAACUUGUCGGAGACUUCAUAUCUCUCGACCCGGGCAUGAGCUUGGAAAACCAUUUUCAGCUCUUCGAACAUCUCAUAUGCUCCGUGUUGCUCAAAACGCUUUUGGAGCCCCGGUUCUAAGCUGUAAAGCAUGCCGCACUGAACGAGGGAGUAAUCAGCAGCACGAGACUGCCAAGCGUUCAUGACGUCUUGGUUCUCUGGGAUGGGAGCUUCACCUAGCGGUGUUUCUAAGACAAAAUCUUUCUUUGCAGCUAUGAGGAUGAUCCUUAGGUUCCGGACCCAGUCCGUAUAGUUGUUGCCAUCAUCUUUCAGCUUGGUUUUCUCUAGGAAAGCGUUGAAGUUGAGGUGGACAUGAGCGUUGGCCAUUUGAUCUACAAGACAUAUUUGCAAAGGUUUUUAGACUAAGUUCAUGAUAAUUAAGUUCAUCUAAUCAAAUUAUUUAAUGAACCCCCACUCAGAUUAGACAUCCCUCUAGUCAUCUAAGUGAUACAUGAUCCGAGUUGACUAGGCCGUGUCCGAUCAUCACGUGAGACGGACUAGUCAUCAUCGGUGAACAUCUCCAUGUUGAUCGUAUCUUCCAUACGACUCAUGUUCGACCUUUCGGUCUCUUGUGUUCCGAGGCCAUGUCUGUACAUGCUAGGCUCGUCAAGUUAACCUAAGUGUUUUGCAUGUGUAAAUCUGUCUUACACCCGUUGUAUGUGAACAUUAGAAUCUAUCACACCCGAUCAUCACGUAGUGCUUCGAAACGACGAACUUUCGCAACGGUGCACAGUUAGGGGGAACAUUUUCUUGAAAUUAUUAUGAGGGAUCAUCUUAUUUACUACCGUCGUUCUAAGUAAACAAGAUGCAUAAACAUAAUAAACAUCACAUGCAAUUAAACAGUAACAUGAUAUGACCAAUAUCAUAUAGCUCCUUUGAUCUCCAUCUUCGGGGAUCCAUGAUCAUUUUCGUCACCGGCAUGACACCAUGAUCUCCAUCAUCAUGAUCUCCAUCAUCGUGUCUCCAUGAAGUUGCUCGCCAACUAUUACUUCUACUUCUAUGGCUAACGGUUUAGCAAUAAAGUAAAGUAAUUACAUGGCGUUAAAUUAUUGACACACAGGUCAUACAAUAAUUAAGACAACUCCUAUGGCUCCUGCCGGUUGUCAUACUCAUCGACAUACAAGUCGUGAUUCCUAUUACAAGAAUAUGAUCUCAUACAUCACAAUAUAUCAUUCAUCAUUCAUCACAACUUUUGGCCAUAUCACAUCACAAAUCAUAUACUGCAAAAACAAGUUAGACGUCCUCUAAUUGUUGUUGCAUGUUUUACGUGGCUGCAAUAGGGUUCUAACAAGAACGUUUUCUUACGUACGUAAAAGCCAGAACAUGAUUUGUCAACUUCUAUUUACCCUUCAUAAGGACCCUUUUCAUCGAAUCCUCUCCAACUAAAGUGGGAGAGACAGACACCCGCCAGCCACCUUAUGCAACUAGUGCAUGCUAGUCGGUGGAACCUGUCUCACGUAAGCGUACGUGUAAGGUCGGUCCGGGCCGCUUCAUCCCACAAUACCGUUGAAGCAAAAUAAGACUAGUAGUGGCAAGAAAGUUGACAACAUCUACGCCCACAACAGAUUUGUGUUCUACUCGUGCAAAGAGAACUACACAUAGAGCUAGCUCAUGAUGCCACUGUUGGGGAACGUUGCAGAAAAUAAAAAAUUUCCUACGGUUUCACCAAGAUCAAUCUAUGAGUUCAUCUAGCAACGAGAGAGAGGAGUGCAUCUACAUACCCUUGUAGAUCGAGCGGAAGCAUUCAAGAGAACGGGGUUGAGGGAGUCGUACUCGCCGUGAUCCAAAUCACCGGAGAUCCUAGCGUCGAACGGACGGCACCUCCGCGUUCAACACACGUACGGUUGGGAAGACGUCUCCUCCUUCUUGAUCCAGCAAGGGGGAAGGAGAGGUUGAUGAAGAUCCAACAGCACGACGGCGUGGUGGUGGAUGCAGCAGCGAUCUCGGCAGGGCUUCGCCAAGCUUCUGCGAGAGGGAGAGGUGUAGCAAGGGGAGAGGGAGGUGCCAAGAGCAUGGGUACGGCUGCCCUCCCUCCCCCCUCUUUAUAUAGGGCCCCUAGGGGGGCGCCGGCCCUAGGAGAUGCAAUCUCGUAGGGGGGGCGGCGGCCAAGGGGGUGGCUUGCCCCCCAAGGCAAGUGGAGACGCCCCCCACCCCUAGGGUUUCCAACCCUAGGCGCAGGAGGGGCCCAAGGGGGGGCGCACCAGCCCAUCAGGGGCUGGUUCCCCUCCCACUUCAGCCCAUGGGGCCCUCCGGGAUAGGUGGCCCCACCCGGUGGACCCCCGGGACCCUUUCGGUGGUCCCGAUACAAUACCGGUGAUCCCCGAAACUUUCCCGAUGCCGAAAGCUAACUUCCUAUAUAUAAUUCUUUACCUCUGGACCAUUCCGGAACUCCUCGUGAUAUCCGGGAUCUCAUUCGAGACUCCAAACAACUUUUGGUUUACUGCAUACUCAUAUCUCUACAACCCUAGCGUCACCGAACCUUAAGUGUGUAGACCCUACGGGUUCGGGAGCACGCAGACAUGACCAAGACGCCUCUCCAGUCAAUAACCAACAGCGGGAUCUGGAUACCCAUGUUGGCUCCCACAUGCUCCUCGAUGAUCUCAUCGGAUGAACCACGAUGUCGAGGAUUUAAGCAACCCCGUAUACAAUUCCCUUUGUUAAUCGGUACGUUACUUGCCUGAGACUCGAUCGUCGGUAUCCCAAUACCUCGUUUAAUCUCGUUACCGGCAAGUCACUUUACUCGUACCGUAAUGCAUGAUCCCAUGACCAGACACUUGGUCACAUUGAGCUCAUUAUGAUGAUGCAUUACCGAGUGGGCCCAGAGAUACCUCUCCAUCAUACGGAGUGACAAAUCCCAGUCUCGAUUCGUGCCAACCCAACAGACACUUUCGGAGAUACCCGUAGUGCACCUUUAUAGUCACCCAGUUACGUUGUGAUGUUUGGCACACCCAAAGCACUCCUACGGUAUUCGAGAGUUGCACAAUCUCAUGGUCUAGGAAAUGAUACUUGACAUUUGGAAAAGCUCUAGCUAAACGAACUACAUGAUCUUUGAGCUAUGCUUAGGAUUGGGACUUCUCCAUCACAUCAUUCUCCUAAUGAUGUGAUCCCGUUAUCAAUGACAUCCAAUAUCCAUAGUCAGGAAACCAUGACUAUCUGUUGAUCAACGAGCUAGUCAACUAGACGCUCACUAGGGACAUGUUGUGGUCUAUGUAUUCACACGUGUAUUAUGAUUUCUGGAUAAUACAAUUAUAGCAUGAAUAACAGACAAUUAUCAUGAACAAAGAAAUAUAAUAAUAACCAUUUUAUUAUUGCCUUUAGGGCAUAUUUCCAACACCAUAUACAUGAUAACACAUGCACAAACACCGGUAACUUUGACCCGAGGAGGGACGGUGGGGGGAGGUGAGGAAGUUGUUCGAAAAUAUACCCUCUCCUAAUAACUUCUGUGUAAAUAAAAAGGUAAUAUACGCAACGUAGACUUGAUAACUCACUAUAAAUAUCGUGGUAACUUUGACCACGGGGGAUGAAGUUGUUUGAAAACAUACACUCGAUAACUUAUGUGUAAAUAGUGUGAUAAUAUAUGAACCGCGGACGUGAUAACUCACGCACAAACACCAUGGUAACUUUGCCUCGGUAAAAAAAGUUAUUGAGAACAUACCACGGUAACUCAUGUGUAAACAACAUGAUAAGACACACACCGGAGCUGAUAACUUACUUAGCUCGUGCCGGUAACUAUUUGCACGGAAAAAAGGUCAUCAAAACAUAUCAAUAUGGAAUUUAGUUUCGUAGGUCUAGUCGUGGCAGAUUUUUUAUGUGACAAUGAUUUUUUGAUCGGACCGACGAUUUGAUCUAUAAACCGAAGUUUCGAAAUAUGGGAGAAUCUAUGAUGAUAUCAGAUUUUCUUUCUUGUUCCUCUAAUGCAUGCACGCAUGUGCAUGUAAAGGGAAAGUUAAAGGAAUCAUUUUCAUGCCCGGUAAUUUUCUGUGUAAACAACAUGAUAAUUUAUGCAUCACAACAUGAUAAGUUAUGUUGCAAAGGCGCGGUGACUUCUUACCUAAAAAAAGUCGUCGGAACAUACCAAUAUGGGAUCUAGUUUUUAAGGUCUCGUCGCAACGAAUCUUUUACGUGAAAACGGUUUUUCAAUCUGAUCAACGGUUUGAACUACAAAGCAUUUUGUACUUUAGAUGAAAUCUUUGCUGACAUUAGUUUUUUUUUUGCAUGCAGCGUUGUUUAUUAGGGGAAAGACAUAAAUUACACACGCAUGGAGCGGGUCUCUGCGUCUCCGCGCCUACAUGCAUGGAGCAUUUCCCUCAUUCGCAAAAAAGGAAGAAGCAUUUCCCUAAUAGGAAAAAAAAACUUUGCACGAAGCACGACUUUGCCUCCUCCUCGAUCCCACACCCCCCACACUCGCAUCAAGUGAAGUGCAGCAGCUAUAGCUGGCCAAAUGGGCCGGUUUUUUCGGGCCGGCCCGUGAGCACGCCGGCACGGCCCGCCUUGGGCCAGGCACGGCACGGACUAAACGGGCCGGGCCAGGCACGCGGCACGCCCUGGGCCGUGCCUGGGCCUGGAGCCUAGGCACGCGGGCCGGCACGACACGGCCCGAUUAAGUUUUUUUUAUUUUUUUAUACAUCUAUAUAUGACCCAAUAUGUAAAAAUAAGCUAAAAAACGCUCAGUGCGUCAAAUAAUAGGCUGAAAAUAUGCGGCCCACCGUGCUAAACGGGCCAACGUGCCGGCCCGUUUACUAACUGGGCCGUGCCUGGGCCUGGGGGCACAGCACGCGGGCCAUCACGGCACGGCCCGUAUAGUAAUCGUGCCCUGGCGGGCCAUGCCGGGCCAAGCACGAUUAUAAUGGGCCGGGCCGUGCCGGGCCGGGCCGGCCCGUUUGGCCAGGUAUGGCAGCAGCCCAGCCCAUUCCCGUAGGUGACCAGCCACCCACACGCGACACGAGUCCUCCCAUCGAGGCGAAAAAGGAAAAACCAAACUCCACUUCUCUCCCAAUCCCGAAAGAAGAGAAGAAAAGGGGGGAAAACUGUCUUCCACCUCCNNNNNNNNNNNNNNNNNNNNNNNNNNNNNNNNNNNNNNNNNNNNNNNNNNNNNNNNNNNNNNNNNNNNNNNNNNNNNNNNNNNNNNNNNNNNNNNNNNNNNNNNNNNNNNNNNNNNNNNNNNNNNNNNNNNNNNNNNNNNNNNNNNNNNNNNNNNNNNNNNNNNNNNNNNNNNNNNNNNNNNNNNNNNNNNNNNNNNNNNNNNNNNNNNNNNNNNNNNNNNNNNNNNNNNNNNNNNNNNNNNNNNNNNNNNNNNNNNNNNNNNNNNNNNNNNNNNNNNNNNNNNNNNNNNNNNNNNNNNNNNNNNNNNNNNNNNNNNNNNNNNNNNNNNNNNNNNNNNNNNNNNNNNNNNNNNNNNNNNNNNNNNNNNNNNNNNNNNNNNNNNNNNNNNNNNNNNNNNNNNNNNNNNNNNNNNNNNNNNNNNNNNNNNNNNNNNNNNNNNNNNNNNNNNNNNNNNNNNNNNNNNNNNNNNNNNCCGCCUCCGCCGCUCCGCUCCCGCCGGACGCUGGAGCUGCCAGACGACGUCAUGGAGGAGAUCUUCCUCCGCCUACCGGCGGACAACCCCGCGAGCCUCGUCCGCAUGGCCGGCGGCUGCAAGAGCUGGCUGGCCAUGGUCUCGGACCCCAACUUCGCCCCCGCCUACCGCAGGCUCCGCGACGCGCCGCCCAUGCUGGGCUUCCUCUACAACUACCGCUACACCGACGAGGGAGCACCCUACUGGACGUCCCACUUCCGCGCCACCGCGACCCUCCCCCCGCAGGUGCGCCGCGACCGCAAGCACUAGCGCGCUCUCGACUCCCGGCACGGCCUCGUCCUCUUCGACACCCCUGAGAGUGACGGGUACCUCGUCGUCUCCGACCUCGUCACCGGGGAGCACUGGAAAAUCGGCGCCCACAUCGCGUUUCCGGAUGCGUGUAAUGCUGCAGUGCUCUGCGCCAAGGACGGAUAUGACCACCGUGAUUGCCAUGGCGGCCCUUUCCUCGCGGCCUUCGUGGACUCCGUCGCGGCAGGGAACCGGAGGGUAAGCCGCGCCACCUUCUACACGUCAACUACUCGCCAGUGGAGCGACGCGACCUUCGUCGAGCAACCCAAUGUCAUCGAUGCCAGGGGCACAGUGCUGUGCUGGGAAAUAAGGUCUAUGUCCCCUGUGUGAAGGAUGGCAGUGUCGUGGAGUACAACACGCGUGAGAACAAGCUAUCUGUGAUCAAGGUGACAUUUGAGGUCCAGGACCAGAUGCAGCAGCCGUGGCUUGACCUCAUGGGGGUGGAGGACGGAAUGCUGCUGUUUGCGUCUGUGGUGAAGCCUAGACGCUACCUAUGGUCAAUGGAGGCUGGUCCCAGAGGAGCUGCGGGACGGGCACGAAGCAGGUUCAUCGAGCUCGGGCCGUUGCUCCCUAGUACUGUCCUCGUGGACAACACCGAAGUGUCGGCGGUUGGUUUUGCGGAAGGUGUUGGUGUCAUCUUCAUCAAGACAAAAGUUGGGUUGUACACAGUUCAUCUCAAAUCAAAACAAAGC